This 513-nucleotide ribosomal RNA is filed under the name uncultured bacterium. RNAcentral describes it as "partial 16S ribosomal RNA". It matches the Rfam family "Bacterial small subunit ribosomal RNA", at positions 28 to 523 of the family's 1533-position model. The record is from RNAcentral.
GAUGAACGCUGGCGGCGUGCCUAAUACAUGCAAGUCGAGCGAACAGAUAAGGAGCUUGCUCCUUUGACGUUAGCGGCGGACGGGUGAGUAACACGUGGGUAACCUACCUAUAAGACUGGGAUAACUUCGGGAAACCGGAGCUAAUACCGGAUAACAUUUGGAACCGCAUGGUUCUAAAGUGAAAGAUGGUUUUGCUAUCACUUAUAGAUGGACCCGCGCCGUAUUAGCUAGUUGGUAAGGUAACGGCUUACCAAGGCAACGAUACGUAGCCGACCUGAGAGGGUGAUCGGCCACACUGGAACUGAGACACGGUCCAGACUCCUACGGGAGGCAGCAGUAGGGAAUCUUCCGCAAUGGGCGAAAGCCUGACGGAGCAACGCCGCGUGAGUGAUGAAGGGUUUCGGCUCGUAAAACUCUGUUAUUAGGGAAGAACAAAUGUGUAAGUAACUGUGCACAUCUUGACGGUACCUAAUCAGAAAGCCACGGCUAACUACGUGCCAGCCGCCGCGGUAA